This 573-nucleotide ribosomal RNA is filed under the name Neocnemodon verrucula. Its description in RNAcentral is "partial 28S ribosomal RNA". Lineage: Eukaryota; Metazoa; Arthropoda; Insecta; Diptera; Syrphidae. The record is from RNAcentral.
CCCGAUGAACCUGAAUAUCCGUUAUGGAAAAUUCAUCAUUAAUAUUAUUAUAUUUAAAAAUAUAAUAAAAAUAGUGUGCAAUUUUUCCAUAUAAGGACAUUGUAAUCUGUUAAUGUAUUAAAUAUUUAUCAAAAAAUCUAAAACAUAAGUUUAUUCAAAUUAGUUAUUUUCGAAUUUCUAACAUAGAAUAAUUGUAUUAGAUUCGAUAAAUCAUUGACAGAUUUUACUAUAUAUAAUGCUUAAAUUCUUUUUUGAAUUUUAUAAUUAUAGUAAAAAUUUAUUUUUAUUUAUAAUUAUAUGCAUUUAUAUGAUUAACAAUGCGAUAGAUUCAGGAUACCUUCGGGACCCGUCUUGAAACACGGACCAAGGAGUCUAACAUAUGUGCAAGUCAUUGGGUAUUUUUAAUAAAACCCAAUGGCAUAAUUAACUUAACUGUUUUUUAAUGGGAUUAGUUUAUAUUUUAUUAUGAAAUAAAAAUUCAAUCCCGGGGCGUUCUAUACAGUUAUGCAUAAUGAUAUUUAUAUUAUUUAUGCCUCUAACUAGAGCGUACCUUGAGCAUAUAUGCUGUGACCC